GUGAGGAAUUUUCCGCAAUGGGCGAAAGCCUGACGGAGCAAUGCCGCGUGAAGGAUGAAGGCCUAUGGGUUGUAAACUUCUUUUCUCAGAAAAGAAUUAUGACGGUAUCUGAGGAAUAAGCAUCGGCUAACUCUGUGCCAGCAGCCGCGGUAAGACUGAGGAUGCAAGCGUUAUCCGGAAUGAUUGGGCGUAAAGCAUCUGUAGGUUGUUUAAAAAGUAUUCUGUCAAAGAUUAGGGCUUAACCCUAGAUAGGCAGAAUAAACUUUUAAGCUAGAGUUUGGUAGAGGCAGAGGGAAUUCCCGGUGGAGCGGUGAAAUGCGUAGAUAUCGGGAGGAACACCAAAGGCGAAGGCACUCUGCUGGGCAAAUACUAACACUGAGGGACGAAAGCGAGGGGAGCAAAUGGGAUUAGAUACCCUAGUAGUCC
RNAcentral lists this ribosomal RNA (426 nucleotides) under uncultured bacterium. RNAcentral describes it as "bacterial SSU rRNA". It matches the Rfam family "Bacterial small subunit ribosomal RNA", at positions 354 to 796 of the family's 1533-position model. The record is from RNAcentral.